Molecule: unclassified non-coding RNA, 240 nt
Filed under: uncultured Mollisia
Lineage: Eukaryota; Fungi; Ascomycota; Leotiomycetes; Helotiales; Dermateaceae
Description: partial contains 5.8S ribosomal RNA, internal transcribed spacer 2, and large subunit ribosomal RNA
Rfam family: 5.8S ribosomal RNA (bases 1-52)
Source: RNAcentral
AACGCACAUUGCGCCCUGUGGUAUUCCGCAGGGCAUGCCUGUUCGAGCGUCAUUAUAACCACUCAAGCCUGGCUUGGUAUUGGAGUUUGCGGUCUCGCAGCUCCUAAAAUCAGUGGCGGUGCCGGUGUGGCUCUACGCGUAGUAAUUCUUCUCGCGAUGGAGUUCCCCUGGUUGCUUGCCAGAACCCCCCAAUUUUUACAGGUUGACCUCGGAUCAGGUAGGGAUACCCGCUGAACUUAA